CCUACGGGAGGCAGCAGUGGGGAAUUUUGCGCAAUGGGGGCAACCCUGACGCAGCAACGCCGCGUGAGUGAUGAAGGCCUUCGGGUCGUAAAGCUCUGUCAGAGGGGAAGAAAUGCAGGUGGUGAACAACCAUUCUGUUUGACGGUACCCUCAAAGGAAGCACCGGCUAACUCCGUGCCAGCAGCCGCGGUAAUACGGAGGGUGCGAGCGUUGUUCGGAAUUAUUGGGCGUAAAGCGCGUGUAGGCGGUUUGUUAAGUCUGAUGUAAAAGCCCCGGGCCCAACCUGGGAAGUGCAUUGGAUACUGGCAGACUUGAGAACGGGAGAGGAGAGUGGAAUUCCCAGUGUAGGAGUGAAAUCCGUAGAUAUUGGGAGGAACACCGGUGGCGAGGGCGGUUCUCGGGACUGCCCCUGACGCUGAAGAGCGAAAGCUAGGGUAGCGAACGGGAUUAGAUCCCCCUGUAGU
Molecule: ribosomal RNA, 464 nt
Filed under: uncultured Geobacteraceae bacterium
Lineage: Bacteria; Pseudomonadati; Thermodesulfobacteriota; Desulfuromonadia; Geobacterales; Geobacteraceae
Description: partial 16S ribosomal RNA
Rfam family: Bacterial small subunit ribosomal RNA
Source: RNAcentral